This 130-nucleotide ribosomal RNA is filed under the name Thamnobryum maderense. RNAcentral's name for it is "partial 18S ribosomal RNA". Lineage: Eukaryota; Viridiplantae; Streptophyta; Bryopsida; Hypnales; Neckeraceae. The record is from RNAcentral.
UGUAUCCAUACCCACUCGCUCUGCUCUCUUGCGAUUAUCGUCUAGUGAUUUUUACCCCUGGCCUUUCCUUACUUUGCCGAGCAGGAGGGCGUAACAAGGUUCCGUAGGUGAACCUGCGGAAGGAUCAUUG